GAUGAAGAACGUAGCGAAAUGCGAUAAGUAGUGUGAAUUGCAGAAUUCAGUGAAUCAUCGAAUCUUUGAACGCACAUUGCACCCUUUGGUAUUCCUUAGGGCAUGCCUGUUCGAGCGUCAUUUAAACCUUCAAGCUCAGCUUGGUGUUGGGUGACUGUCCGCUUCACCGCGGACUCGCCUCAAAAUUAUUGGCGGCCGGUACAUUGGCUUCGAGCGCAGCAGAAACGCGAACUCGGGCCCGUCGUAUUGGCUCCCAGAAGCUAUCUUCACAAUUUUGACCUCGGAUCAGGUAGGGAUACCCGCUGAACUUAAGCAUAUCAAUAAGCGGAGGA
This 332-nucleotide unclassified non-coding RNA is filed under the name soil metagenome. RNAcentral describes it as "partial contains 5.8S ribosomal RNA, internal transcribed spacer 2, and large subunit ribosomal RNA". The stretch from base 1 to 120 matches the Rfam family "5.8S ribosomal RNA", at positions 35 to 154 of the family's 154-position model. The record is from RNAcentral.